Molecule: ribosomal RNA, 520 nt
Filed under: Anoxybacillus flavithermus
Lineage: Bacteria; Bacillati; Bacillota; Bacilli; Caryophanales; Anoxybacillaceae
Description: bacterial SSU rRNA
Rfam family: Bacterial small subunit ribosomal RNA
Source: RNAcentral
UCCCUUGCGGGAGGACAGGGUGACAGGUGGUGCAUGGUUGUCGUCAGCUCGUGUCGUGAGAUGUUGGGUUAAGUCCCGCAACGAGCGCAACCCUCGCCCCUAGUUGCCAGCAUUCAGUUGGGCACUCUAGGGGGACUGCCGGCUAAAAGUCGGAGGAAGGUGGGGAUGACGUCAAAUCAUCAUGCCCCUUAUGACCUGGGCUACACACGUGCUACAAUGGGCGGUACAAAGGGCUGCGAACCCGCGAGGGGGAGCGAAUCCCAAAAAGCCGCUCUCAGUUCGGAUUGCAGGCUGCAACUCGCCUGCAUGAAGCCGGAAUCGCUAGUAAUCGCGGAUCAGCAUGCCGCGGUGAAUACGUUCCCGGGCCUUGUACACACCGCCCGUCACACCACGAGAGCUUGCAACACCCGAAGUCGGUGAGGUAACCCGCAAGGGAGCCAGCCGCCGAAGGUGGGGCAAGUGAUUGGGGUGAAGUCGUAACAAGGUAGCCGUACCGGAAGGUGCGGCUGGAUCACCUCCU